RNAcentral lists this ribosomal RNA (273 nucleotides) under Pseudomonadota bacterium. RNAcentral's name for it is "Proteobacteria bacterium (activated sludge metagenome) partial 23S ribosomal RNA". It matches the Rfam family "Bacterial large subunit ribosomal RNA", at positions 2635 to 2925 of the family's 2925-position model. The record is from RNAcentral. Lineage: Bacteria; Pseudomonadati; Pseudomonadota.
UCCCUAUCUGCCGUGGGCGUCGAAAUUUGAGAGGAGUUGCCCCUAGUACGAGAGGACCGGGGUGAACAUGCCUCUGGUGGACCUGUCAUCGUGCCAACGGUGCAGCAGGGUAGCUAUGCAUGGACGGGAUAACCGCUGAAAGCAUCUAAGCGGGAAGCCUCCCUCAAGAUAAGAUUUCAUAGAGCCGUGGAAGACCACCACGUUGAUAGAUCGGAUGUGGAAGUGCGGUAACGCAUGGAGCUAACCGAUACUAAUUGCUCUAUUCGCGCUUGA